AUGGGGCACCUGGUGUCGAUUUGCAGUACCUUUUUUCCGUGGGAAUGUGUUGCUCCUACGUGCGCGUUUCAGGCCAAGGGCCAGGGGUUCUUCUAUAUUCCUGAUUCUUGUACCGCUAAGCAGCUUAAGGAGAGAUCUAUGAGUGUAGUGAUUACUGUUAUUGACGGAGAGGCGAGUGUCAAGGAGCUGGAAGAUGCAUUUUCCGAUUACAUCAGGACAAAAUGGCACUGCACAGCACGUCCUAUAGGCCCUAACUCUUAUGUCAUGCGUUUUCCUAAUCAACGGGAUGUGAAGAAAGCUUGCUAUAAUGAUAAGAUGACUCUUAGAUCUUGUGGUGUUGUGGUUAAGAUCGUUCCCUGA
Molecule: ribosomal RNA, 360 nt
Filed under: Triticum aestivum (bread wheat)
Lineage: Eukaryota; Viridiplantae; Streptophyta; Magnoliopsida; Poales; Poaceae
Description: partial small subunit ribosomal RNA
Source: RNAcentral